CCUACGGGAGGCAGCAGUGGGGAAUUUUGGACAAUGGGCGCAAGCCUGAUCCAGCAAUGCCGCGUGAGUGAAGAAGGCCUUCGGGUUGUAAAGCUCUUUUGUCAGGGAAGAAACGGUGAGCUCUAAUACAGUUUGCUAAUGACGGUACCUGAAGAAUAAGCACCGGCUAACUACGUGCCAGCAGCCGCGGUAAUACGUAGGGUGCAAGCGUUAAUCGGAAUUACUGGGCGUAAAGCGUGCGCAGGCGGUUUUGUAAGUCUGUCGUGAAAUCCCCGGGCUCAACCUGGGAAUGGCGAUGGAGACUGCAAGGCUAGAGUUUGGCAGAGGGGGGUAGAAUUCCACGUGUAGCAGUGAAAUGCGUAGAUAUGUGGAGGAACACCGAUGGCGAAGGCGGCCCCCUGGGUCAAAACUGACGCUCAUGCACGAAAGCGUGGGGAGCAAACAGGAUUAGAUACCCUGGUAGUCCACGCCCUAAACGAUGUCUACUAGUUGUCGGGUCUUAAUUGACUUGGUAACGCAGCUAACGCGUGAAGUAGACCGCCUGGGGAGUACGGUCGCAAGAUUAAAACUCAAAGGAAUUGACCGGCNGAGAGNGCGAGACGACACGAGGGAGGAGG
RNAcentral lists this ribosomal RNA (617 nucleotides) under uncultured bacterium. RNAcentral's name for it is "bacterial SSU rRNA". It matches the Rfam family "Bacterial small subunit ribosomal RNA", at positions 338 to 951 of the family's 1533-position model. The record is from RNAcentral.